RNAcentral lists this ribosomal RNA (253 nucleotides) under uncultured bacterium. RNAcentral's name for it is "partial 16S ribosomal RNA". It matches the Rfam family "Bacterial small subunit ribosomal RNA", at positions 524 to 776 of the family's 1533-position model. The record is from RNAcentral.
UACGGAGGGUGCGAGCGUUAAUCGGAAUUACUGGGCGUAAAGCGCGCGUAGGCGGUUAAUUAAGUCGGAUGUGAAAGCCCCGGGCUCAACCUGGGAACUGCAUUCGAUACUGGUUAACUAGAGUACGAGAGAGGGAGGUAGAAUUCAUAGUGUAGCGGUGGAAUGCGUAGAUAUUAUGAAGAAUACCAGUGGCGAAGGCGACUCCCUGGAUUGAUACUGACACUGAGGUGCGAAAGCGUGGGUAGCAAACAGG